GACGAACGCUGGCGGCGUGCUUAACACAUGCAAGUCGAACGGAAAGGCCCUGCUUUUGUGGGGUGCUCGAGUGGCGAACGGGUGAGUAACACGUGAGUAACCUGCCCUUGACUUUGGGAUAACUUCAGGAAACUGGGGCUAAUACCGGAUAGGAGCUCCUGCUGCAUGGUGGGGGUUGGAAAGUUUCGGCGGUUGGGGAUGGACUCGCGGCGUAUCAGCUUGUUGGUGGGGUAGUGGCUUACCAAGGCUUUGACGGGUAGCCGGCCUGAGAGGGUGACCGGCCACAUUGGGACUGAGAUACGGCCCGGACUCCUACGGGAGGCAGCAGUGGGGAAUAGUGCACAAUGGGCGGGAGCCUGAUGCAGCAACGCCGCGUGCGGGAUGACGGCCUUCGGGUUGUAAACCGCUUUCGCCUGUGACGAAGCGUGAGUGACGGUAAUGGGUAAAGAAGCACCGGCUAACUACGUG
This 468-nucleotide ribosomal RNA is filed under the name uncultured bacterium. RNAcentral's name for it is "partial 16S ribosomal RNA". It matches the Rfam family "Bacterial small subunit ribosomal RNA", at positions 28 to 507 of the family's 1533-position model. The record is from RNAcentral.